GGAUGCUUAGCUCAGUUGGGAGAGCACUGCCCUUACAAGGCAGGGGUCGGGGGUUCAAGCCCCUCAGUAUCCACCA
This 76-nucleotide transfer RNA is filed under the name bacterium. Its description in RNAcentral is "tRNA-Val". It matches the Rfam family "tRNA". Rfam says of the family: Transfer RNA (tRNA) molecules are approximately 80 nucleotides in length. Their secondary structure includes four short double-helical elements and three loops (D, anti-codon, and T loops). RNAcentral also lists the same sequence under 1 other name. The record is from RNAcentral.